This 460-nucleotide ribosomal RNA is filed under the name Bacillus cereus. RNAcentral's name for it is "bacterial SSU rRNA". It matches the Rfam family "Bacterial small subunit ribosomal RNA", at positions 80 to 523 of the family's 1533-position model. The record is from RNAcentral. Lineage: Bacteria; Bacillati; Bacillota; Bacilli; Caryophanales; Bacillaceae.
UUGCUCUUAUGAAGUUAGCGGCGGACGGGUGAGUAACACGUGGGUAACCUGCCCAUAAGACUGGGAUAACUCCGGGAAACCGGGGCUAAUACCGGAUAACAUUUUGAACCGCAUGGUUCGAAAUUGAAAGGCGGCUUCGGCUGUCACUUAUGGAUGGACCCGCGUCGCAUUAGCUAGUUGGUGAGGUAACGGCUCACCAAGGCAACGAUGCGUAGCCGACCUGAGAGGGUGAUCGGCCACACUGGGACUGAGACACGGCCCAGACUCCUACGGGAGGCAGCAGUAGGGAAUCUUCCGCAAUGGACGAAAGUCUGACGGAGCAACGCCGCGUGAGUGAUGAAGGCUUUCGGGUCGUAAAACUCUGUUGUUAGGGAAGAACAAGUGCUAGUUGAAUAAGCUGGCACCUUGACGGUACCUAACCAAAAAGCCACGGCUAACUACGUGCCAGCAGCCGCGGUAA